UACGUAGGGUGCAAGCGUUGUCCGGAAUUAUUGGGCGUAAAGAGCUCGUAGGCGGUUUGUUGCGUCGGCUGUGAAAUCCCGAGGCUCAACCUCGGGUCUGCAGUCGAUACGAGCAAACUAGAGUGUUGCAGGGGAGACUGGAAUUCCUGGUGUAGCGGUGAAAUGCGCAGAUAUCAGGAGGAACACCAAUAGCGAAGGCAGCUCGCUGGGACGUUACUGACACUGAGGCACGAAGGCCAGGGGAGCAAACGGG
This 253-nucleotide ribosomal RNA is filed under the name uncultured bacterium. Its description in RNAcentral is "partial 16S ribosomal RNA". It matches the Rfam family "Bacterial small subunit ribosomal RNA", at positions 524 to 776 of the family's 1533-position model. The record is from RNAcentral.